GCGAUGCAGGAUGUGGGCACCGAGAAAAAGCAAGAGAUCCCAGUCAAGACUUCGUUGGGCCCAAACCUCGGUCUGCAUCUUCUCCCAAUGGUGUGACAUUAAACUAUGGAGAGACAUCAACAGCUACAGAUUGACAAGAGCGUGUAACAUAACGUCCACAGAACUCCCACCAUGAGCUGAGCAGCUCGCUCUACCACUUGCCAUGGUCUUCUUCCUCACCAUGUCCAACAUUUCUUUGGGACAAGCCAAAAUCAAUGUUGC
Molecule: long non-coding RNA, 261 nt
Organism: Grammomys surdaster
Lineage: Eukaryota; Metazoa; Chordata; Mammalia; Rodentia; Muridae
Exons: 3
Source: RefSeq, a predicted model, not a curated record